UACAGAGGGCGCGAGCGUUGUCCGGAAUCACUGGGCGUAAAGGGCGCGUAGGUGACCACCAUAAGGCCGCGGUGAAAGUCUGGGGCUCAACCCCGGAUCGGCCGCGGCGACUGUGGGGCUUGGGCACUGUAGAGGCAGUUGGAAUUCCGGGUGUAGCAGUGGAAUGCGUAGAGAUCCGGAAGAACACCAGUGGCGAAGGCGGUCUGCUGGGCAGUGAGCUCGCAAGAGUUCAAUAGCCGACACUGAGGCGCGACAGCGUG
RNAcentral lists this unclassified non-coding RNA (260 nucleotides) under uncultured Gemmatimonadaceae bacterium. RNAcentral describes it as "contains 16S-23S intergenic spacer region". It matches the Rfam family "Bacterial small subunit ribosomal RNA", at positions 524 to 763 of the family's 1533-position model. Lineage: Bacteria; Pseudomonadati; Gemmatimonadota; Gemmatimonadia; Gemmatimonadales; Gemmatimonadaceae. The record is from RNAcentral.